AACUGCGAAUGGCUCAUUAAAUCAGUUAUCGUUUAUUUGAUAGUACCUUACUACAUGGAUAACCGUGGUAAUUCUAGAGCUAAUACAUGCUAAAAAUCCCAACUUCGGAAGGGAUGUAUUUAUUAGAUAAAAAACCAAUGCCCUCCGGGGCUCCUUGGUGAUUCAUAAUAACUUCUCAGAUCGCAUGGCCUUGCGCCGGCGACGGUUCAUUCAAAUUUCUGCCCUAUCAACUUUCGAUGGUAAGGUAUUGGCUUACCAUGGUUUCAACGGGUAACGGGGAAUUAGGGUUCGAUUCCGGAGAGGGAGCCUGAGAAACGGCUACCACAUCCAAGGAAGGCAGCAGGCGCGCAAAUUACCCAAUCCCGAUACGGGGAGGUAGUGACAAUAAAUACUGAUACAGGGCUCUUUAGGGUCUUGUAAUUGGAAUGAGUACAAUUUAAACCUCUUAACGAGGAACAAUUGGAGGGCAAGUCUGGUGCCAGCAGCCGCGGUAAUUCCAGCUCCAAUAGCGUAUAUUAAAGUUGUUGCAGUUAAAAAGCUCGUAGUUGAACCUUUGGCCUGGCUGGCGGGUCCGCCUCACCGCGUGCACUCGUCCGGCCGGGCCUUUUCUUCUAGAGAACCGCAUGCCCUUCACUGGGUGUGUUGGGGACUAGGACUUUUACUUUGAAAAAAUUAGAGUGUUCAAAGCAGGCCUUUGCUCGAAUACGUUAGCAUGGAAUAAUAGAAUAGGACGUGCGGUCCUAUUUUGUUGGUUUCUAGGACCGCCGUAAUGAUUAAUAGGGACAGUCGGGGGCAUCAGUAUUCAAUUGUCAGAGGUGAAAUUCUUGGAUUUAUUGAAGACUAACUACUGCGAAAGCAUUUGCCAAGGAUGUUUUCAUUAAUCAGUGAACGAAAGUUAGGGGAUCGAAGACGAUCAGAUACCGUCGUAGUCUUAACCAUAAACUAUGCCGACUAGGGAUCGGGCGGUGUUACUAUUUUGACUCGCUCGGCACCUUACGAGAAAUCAAAGUGUU
This 1013-nucleotide ribosomal RNA is filed under the name Periconia igniaria. Its description in RNAcentral is "SSU rRNA". It matches the Rfam family "Eukaryotic small subunit ribosomal RNA", at positions 85 to 1107 of the family's 1831-position model. Lineage: Eukaryota; Fungi; Ascomycota; Dothideomycetes; Pleosporales; Periconiaceae. The record is from RNAcentral.